GAUGAACGCUGGCGGCGUGCCUAAUACAUGCAAGUCGAGCGAACAGACGAGGAGCUUGCUCCUCUGACGUUAGCGGCGGACGGGUGAGUAACACGUGGAUAACCUACCUAUAAGACUGGGAUAACUUCGGGAAACCGGAGCUAAUACCGGAUAAUAUAUUGAACCGCAUGGUUCAAUAGUUAAAGACGGUUUUGCUGUCACUUAUAGAUGGAUCCGCGCCGCAUUAGCUAGUUGGUAAGGUAACGGCUUACCAAGGCGACGAUGCGUAGCCGACCUGAGAGGGUGAUCGGCCACACUGGAACUGAGACACGGUCCAGACUCCUACGGGAGGCAGCAGUAGGGAAUCUUGCGCAAUGGGCGGAAGCCUGACGGAGCAACGCCGCGUGAGUGAUGAAGGUCUUCGGAUCGUAAAACUCUGUUAUUAGGGAAGAACAAAUGUGUAAGUAACUAUGCACGUCUUGACGGUACCUAAUCAGAAAGCCACGGCUAACUACGUG
This 497-nucleotide ribosomal RNA is filed under the name uncultured bacterium. RNAcentral's name for it is "partial 16S ribosomal RNA". It matches the Rfam family "Bacterial small subunit ribosomal RNA", at positions 28 to 507 of the family's 1533-position model. The record is from RNAcentral.